AAAGACACAAAAUCAUGGUGUAUUAGUCUCCGUCACUAUAUCCACAUACUUAAAAAAUCCGAAUGCCGAUCGAACAAUUGAUCGAUGAUCUUUCGUAUCAUGGAAUUUUUUAUAAAGUUUUCGAAAUAUGUUAUAUGGACACGAUACGUUGAAGUAUCUGAUGUUUCACUGCAAAUAGUACGAUGGAUAUACACUACAUGAAAAGAGGUCUACAACGACGAUUUUGUAUUGUACAGACCUCAUAGACAAGUAUUUGAUGUAGACGAUGUGCAAUGAAUUUUAUUAUUUUAUCGGUC
This 296-nucleotide long non-coding RNA is filed under the name Zostera marina. RNAcentral describes it as "long non-coding RNA (ZMAR_LNC001796)". The record is from RNAcentral. Lineage: Eukaryota; Viridiplantae; Streptophyta; Magnoliopsida; Alismatales; Zosteraceae.